ACCGGUUUAGUUCAGCAGGCAGAUUGCCUGAUUGUAAAAUCAGGAUGGAAGCGGUUCAACUCCACUAACCGGUA
Molecule: transfer RNA, 74 nt
Filed under: Buttiauxella sp. JUb87
Lineage: Bacteria; Pseudomonadati; Pseudomonadota; Gammaproteobacteria; Enterobacterales; Enterobacteriaceae
Description: tRNA-Tyr
Rfam family: tRNA
About the family: Transfer RNA (tRNA) molecules are approximately 80 nucleotides in length. Their secondary structure includes four short double-helical elements and three loops (D, anti-codon, and T loops).
Source: RNAcentral